Non-coding RNA from Bactrocera oleae (olive fruit fly), 3120 nucleotides. The record is from RefSeq and is a predicted model, not a curated record. NCBI's taxonomy places the organism in Eukaryota, Metazoa, Arthropoda, Insecta, Diptera, Tephritidae.
AUUUGUUUAUGAUUUUUCGCAAAUAAAUUUAAAUCCAUAUUUUAAAGCCAGUGACUGCUAAUUUAUGAAGAAUUUAGUUGAAGAGGUCAAGUUUUACGACAUAUGGCAAUCCUUCUCAUUUUCAACGCCACUAGUGUGUUUUCCUAAAUUAUAUAUAUUCAUAUACAUAUAUAUGUAUUCACAAAAAAUAUGCUGUUAUAUAAAAUUUGCGAUGAAAUUCAUUAAUUUUCAGCAAAUAAUUUUUACUACACUCUGUGCGACGCUGAUAGCGUCAGUAAGAUGAAAACAUAAUGAAAUAAAGAAUGAAGUUAAAUAAAACGUAAUAGAUUGUUGACAAUAAAAAAUAGCAAAAAAUAAUUAAAAAAUUAGAAAACAUUUUACCUCUCAAAAUAUUCGGAAUAAACCGCAGUCGCAUAGUGUUUAAGCUUAAAAUCCAAGCGCGCAAAGUUUAAUCACCCUGAAAUCGUCCGAAAAAAAUACUUUGUCUUUUUCUCCACGCUACGUGGUCGCCACAACCACAGCGCCUCGUAACGGUUUAUUGCAAAUUUGCCUUUUGCAUAAAUUAAUAGAUACAAAGAAGAGUGAACGAAAAAUGCGUUUUACCGCUUUGCAAACACUCUUUAUAUGCACACAUACAUACCAGACAAUUAUGUACAUUCAUUCAUAUGGAAUUAGAUAUGUAAAUAUUGAAGUUGUUGCGCGCGAAUGUGCAUCGUGCGUGCGCAGUGUAGGGCGACGAGCAUUGAACCAAACGACAAAGUGACAACGUUGUAAAAGGCAAUAGAAAUUUCUGCAGUUUUUGUGAAAUUUUUGGCAGCGAACGCGUUGGCCGACAUAUUUACAUACCUAUAUUCAUAUUUCGUUGCAGAAAAUGCAAUUUAUUAGCGCUUAGAGCUUGCACCUUGCUUGUGAAAAUGAGCUGUGAAAAUACAACAACAAAAGCUACAACAUUCAAUAAUACGUGUACGCGCUGCUGGGAAGCUUCCAGAAACCGCACCUUUUCACUUAAAAAAUUUUCUUGGCUGACUGCCUGAAGACUCUGGCACAAACCCAAACAGGAAAAUUGUAGCUCAGUGGAUUGUACAUUACUUGGAGCUUGGACAUCAAGGGACUUUUUUCUGCCACUGUUAGCUCCAGACAGGUGAAGGAAAUUUAACUAUAUCCUUGGAAAAACUUCAGUAGGGUAUAAUUCAAGACACAAAGUUAGAGGCACUUGGAUGCUAACUCUUAAAAGAUAACAUUUUUUUUGGAGUUAUGCAACAACUAUUACUGAGAAAACAUUUUCUGAGUGUCAUUUGUGUCUAAGAUAUGGUCGCUUCUUUAUAAAUUUAAAUAUAUAUAUAUUUCAUACAACAAAUUGCUAUUCGAACAAAUUAAAUUAUUUGUAUCUUUAUAUGUUGGUAUAUUAUAUAUAUAUUAUAUAAAAAAAACUUGUUUUUCACCGCUUGUUUACCGCUUUUUGACGCAUUCAUUAUGAAUAAAUAAAUACGUCAGUAUGUCAUAUCAAAUAGAAAUCAAUAUAGCAUAAAUAAAAUAAUUACAUUUUUAUUAAACGCCAUUUUUUCGCAACACGCUGCCCUCGCUUAACAGCGACACAUACAUAUAGACAUAUAUAAUAUUAUAUAUAUAUUUACAAUAACUUAUAUACUUUUUUAAUUAGAAUUUCAUAGGUUUAAGAAAUCUUUGUGAUAAUAUGUUGUUUAUUGUCUCGGCAUAUUUCAAAUGAUAUAAUGGUUUUACUUUUUUUUUUGUUUAUAAAUUAAUAAUAGGUGCGUUCUUCACUAAUUACAACAAGUGCUUAUCUAUAUUUAAAAAAAUUCAGUUUCUUCGAAAUUGCAAUUUUGUUGCGCUCUGACGUCGAAAAACCGAAAAAAAUUACUGUCAUGAAACCCGUUAACCGAAAUCUUCGUUGCCGUAAACUUUCACUUUGCUUGCAUAUACUGCUUUAUUAUUAAGCACUACGUACAUACUCGCAUAUUGUCACGCUCUUCUUGACAUUAUUUAUUUAAAUUGAUUUUCGAAAUAUAGCAGUAAAUAUUGAAAUAGCAUUUGUUUCUAAAUAUUUUAAGUGAUUUCACAAAAGCAAGUUCUUUUUAGACUGCCAAAUGUCUGCUUUUUGGCGUUCACACGUCAACAUUUUGGUAGAAAAUAGAUUCAAGGGGCAACGCAAGCAAAUUGACAGAUAUAUAUUAUAGAAGAUGAGCAAAGCAAAUUAGGCGAUUUGUAGUGCGGAAAGGCAAAAGAAGCAACGCAAACGAAAUAGUUUUAAAAGGAAAGAUGUCAUUAGCGGUAGCCGAUGGUUACGCGGAAAAGGUGGUGCCAGCUUGUUAGAAAGCAAGAAAGACUAGAGCACACUUUGGCAAAGAAGUUAUUUUGCAGCGAAAUGGCUUCAAAUAAUUGCAAAUGUGUUUUCUUAUAAAAAUUUUGAGGCCUGCAAUAAUUUGGAACAACUUAAUUGAAUUAAAAUUUAAAUUUGCAUAUCGUAUUACUUUUAAAAAGUAAUAAAUUUUUACUUUCCUAAAAAUUUCACAAAAAAAUUAUAGUUUUUCUACAAAACAAUCAAAUAUACCGUUAUAAAAUGCAUACAAAUUCGAAUAUCAUUGAAUUCUGCGCAGUUUUAAUCAUCUGAGUGUUAAAUAUUUACUGAAUUUAAUUUGAUUUUGUUAUCAAGGAAGCGAAAAAGAUACUCGCUGCAUGAUUGAUGUUGGUAAACAAAGCCUUACGUAUAUAGUAAUCGUAUUGGAAUUUGCAAUGGCGCCAGAUAAAGCUUUCUUUUACGAUAAACUUUGCGAUUUUCUAUUAUAUAUACUACAUAUUGCUAAUGAUUUAUCUUUCAGCCAGCAAAUUAAAUUUUUUGCUAACGAAAUUGUUUCUUUUUAGCUCUGUCAGAAUAUAUGAAGGGCAACAUAAAAACUUCCGUAAGUGACGCAGAACACUAGAUAGUAACCCUGAAUUGCUCAUACAUUAUUUAAACCAAUACACGAAAGUUACACAAGAAAAUUUACGUGGAAAAGGAGAGACAAGCACAGAGACGUAUACCAGUACAUAAACGUAGACAAAUGCAUGCAAAAAUAGAAUGCUAAAUGUUGGUUAAUCGAAUGCUGAUCGCUUACCGAUCUU